UCGCAGCUGGCGGGAAGCAAGCGCCACUUCGAAAGCCGGAGGCUCAAGUGACCCCUCUUACCACUGUCAUGGCAGUCCCAGGUUGCAACAAGGACAGUGUCAGAGCAGGCUGUAAAAAAUGUGGCUACCCUGGUCACCUGACUUUUGAAUGCCGCAAUUUUCUCCGAGUAGACCCUAAAAGGGACAUAGUUUUGGAUGUCAGCAGUACAAGUAGUGAAGACAGCGAUGAAGAGAAUGAAGAACUGAAUAAAUUGCAGGCAUUACAGGAAAAAAGAAUAAAUGAAGAAGAGGAAAAGAAAAAAGAAAAAAGAAAAGAAAAAGUCAAAUUGAAAAAAAAAAAGGAAAAGGUCUUACUCAUCCAGUUCCACUGAAGAGGACACUUCAAAACAAAAGAAACAAAAAUAUCAGAAGAAAGAAAAGAAAAAAGAAAAAAAUAGCAAAUCAAAAAAAGGGAAACAUCACAAAAAGGAAAAAAAGAAGAGAAAAAAGGAAAAGCAGUCUUCUACCCCUAAUAGUUCUGAAUUCUCCAGAAAGUAACUGAGACUUUGGCUUAAGCCAUUAAAUUUAAAUAUUUGUUUUUAAAAUGUGU
Rhinopithecus roxellana (golden snub-nosed monkey) is the source of this 589-nucleotide RNA transcript. It is a transcript of the gene named protein SREK1IP1 pseudogene, with no coding region annotated. Lineage: Eukaryota; Metazoa; Chordata; Mammalia; Primates; Cercopithecidae. The record is from RefSeq and is a predicted model, not a curated record. The transcript has a single exon.